AGCACCUCCCCCCUCCAAACACCACCCCAUCGAUUGCAGCCCAGUCCCGCCAGAACCGCGAGAUCCGAUCCGACCACCGCCAGCAGCAGAUUCGGCGCCACGGCGACGGAGCUCGCCUCUGUCCUCCUCCCCGCCCGCCGUCUCCUCCCGCGGAGGCUGGUUUCAUCCUCCAGGUGCGCGAGCGCUCUCUGUUCGUGAAAUCUUUCUCCCUGCUCGAUCCAUGCCCGGGAGGUGCUCGUCCUUGCCCGCAAGAUCCGUCCGGAGCAGGAUUCCUCUGUGAUCCGGCGCGUCUCGGCCUUCCUCCCCGGAGCCAAGAUCCGGGAUUCCCUUUUCGGUUUCUCUUUCUCGAGCGAGCGCGCGUUCCGCCGGAGCGCCGGGCAUGGCGUACGCGUCGCCGUACGUGCUCUCGUUCCUGCUGCUGCUGUCCAUGCCGGCGGUGUACUACCUCGGCCCGCGCCUGCUGCUGCCCAGGACGCUCCCGGCCAUCCCGGACGCGGACGAGACGGAGGACCUCGCGCUCUUCCGCCGCGCCGUGCUCCUCUCGGCCGCGCCCUCCGCCGGCGCCGGCGCGGCGGCCUCCUCCUUCGGCGUGUUCGGCCGCCGCCCGCAGGCGCCGCGGCCCAAGGUGGCCUUCCUCUUCCUCACCAACUCCGACCUCGUCUUCGCGCCGCUCUGGGAGAAGUUCUUCGCGGGGCACCACGGCCUGCUCAACCUCUACGUCCACGCCGACCCCGCCGCCAACCUCACGCUGCCGCCGACCCCGUCCUUCCGCGGCCGCGUCAUCCGGGGCAAGGCCACGGCGCGCGCCUCCGCCACGCUCAUCUCCGCGGCGCGCCGCCUCCUCGCCACCGCGCUCCUCGACGACCCGGCCAACCGCUUCUUCGCGCUGCUCUCCCAGUCCUGCGUCCCGCUCCUCCCGUUCCCCGCCCUCUACCGCACCCUCCUCACCGACAACAAUGCCGCCGGCGCCGGCCGCCACCGCCGCCACCGCAGCUUCAUUGAGAUCCUGGACAGCGAGCCCACGCUGCACGCCCGCUACUACGCGCGCGGCGACAACGUGAUGCUCCCGGAGGUGCCCUUCGACCGCUUCCGCGUCGGCUCCCAGUUCUUCGUGCUCGCCAGGCGGCACGCCGUCAUGGUGGUCCGGGACCGGCGGCUCUGGAACAAGUUCAAGGCGCCGUGCCUCGUCAAGGAGAAGGACUCGUGCUACCCGGAGGAGCACUACUUCCCGACGCUGCUCGACAUGCAGGACCCCGACGGCUGCACCAAGUACACCCUCACCAGGGUCAACUGGACCGACGCCGUCGGCGGCCACCCGCACACCUACCAGCCGGAGGAGGUCUCCGGGGACCUCAUCAGGGAGCUCAGGAAGUCCAACGGCACCUACUCCCACAUGUUCGCGCGCAAGUUCGCGCCCGAGACCCUUGCGCCGCUCAUGGAGAUCUCCGACUCCGUCAUCCUCCGUGACUAGGCGCGAAGUGUUCGUGGAGAUGAACAGAACAAGGGUUGGUGAUGUGAUGAAGAAGCACAAGCUGAUCCAUCCAUCCCCUUUGUGGUUUCUUCGGAGAGGAGCAAGCAACCAGCACCAAACCCACUUCGCCUUGUUGUUCCGUCGCUGGCCGUCGGCGAAGGGGAUGCUGCUGCUUGCCCAGGCUCAGAGAGUGAUGUGGUGUUGGUGGCGAAGUGCCCCGGCUGCCUCUAUCCUAUGUGAGUAUUUGUUGUUGUGUUUCUUGGUGUUUUUCCUUUCCACUUCGCUCCGAGCAAGAGGAAGUCGUCGGCACGCACGCGGUAGGCGCGCCGCUGGUAGUUAGCACGGACUAUCAUCCUAUGUAUUCACAACGGAGGCAACCUGUCGAUACAUGUAGCGAUGGUUUUUGUAGUGUAUGUUAUCCCCACCAUGUUGUCAUUGUCAAUAUCACACACCUUUUCCUCUAAAUGUAUCAUCAUCUGUAUCAUGGCACCACUAUCUUCUUGCUUCCGGCUUUUAGGUGGCAACCGCACCUGCCUUAGCAUAUACUCCCUCCGUCCGGGUUUAUUAGGCCUAAAGACAACUUUUCUUAGACCAAGACACAUAAUAAUUUGCUCACAUAAAUUCUUCAAUUCCACUCUCAAUGCACUCUCUCACAUGCAUGCAGCCAAUGAAAAAGCACGCAUGAAGUGUAUUAAUUUCCCAUUCAUGGCACCAACAACAAUGGCUUUCAAGGCAACCAAUGAAAUGGUUGCACGCAUGCACCUUUCCAAAGCGAGGCCUUAUAAAAAGGGACAUGCUUGUGAUGCUAAGAGGCCUAAUAAACCCGGACGGAGGGAGUACUCAUAUUCCUAGUUGAUUAAUCCUGAGAGAGCUUACCCGGCAAUCUUACGGCGAAUUGCUGACCAAAACAACAUGCUUUGUCAAGCAGCAUCUAACAACCCACUACAGAAUCAAUCAAGGUUGCGCUAUUACGUCGAUCGACCCGCCGAUCUUGUAACCCCCCCCUUGCAAAGUUUGGGAUAUUUGGAAAAUAUCCCAAAAUAUUUGGAAAGUUUAACUGAAUCUACUUGUUGUGAGGUGUGUUUGGGACCGAAACGGUCGGUGUUAGGGGGUGGUCACUUGCCUGUCCUAUGGAUUUAGGCUAAGGAAAAACGAUUCCUGCACUUUUGUUUUCCCAUGCUUUCCUCUCUUUGUUCCCCCCUUUCCUCUUGUUUCAUUGUCCUUUUGGUUGCUUGCUGGUGAGG
This 2715-nucleotide ribosomal RNA is filed under the name Triticum aestivum (bread wheat). Its description in RNAcentral is "partial small subunit ribosomal RNA". Lineage: Eukaryota; Viridiplantae; Streptophyta; Magnoliopsida; Poales; Poaceae. The record is from RNAcentral.